CGGUUCGGGGAACAUCCUGUCGCUUUCACCGCGGCCGGAGCCGUGGACGUGUUCACUCUUCCCUCGCAGUGCGGAGCUGAGCGCUCGCACUGUGGAGGUGAUCCGCAGAGGUGAGAGCUCCUCGGUGUUCUCCAUCCUCACCGCGGCUCUGACAGAAACAUCUGAGCGCCUCAUGAUGGAUGAUGUGAGACAGGUGUGACCAACAGAGCGUGACGGGGACGACUCCCAUCAGGUCCGUUUGGGUUUCAGCCUGGAAAGUCCGGAGGAUUCAGAGGAGCACCUGAUUCUCUCUGGAGACCUGGAGGAGGAAGGUGGAGGUGGGACGAGAGGAGACGAGCUGUUUGCUUGUUCUUCGGUUCAGUGCAACUCAUUAAUGAUGUGCUUUGGACCAGAUGUUCGUUAGAGGUUUAGCAGUAAAGAAACGUGUGCAUUAUUUAUUUAUUUAUUUUUUUGUUUAAUUUUUGACUUGAAUAAAUAUGAAAUAGUUUUCCCAUAUACAAGUAUGGUUGUUUAAACCUUUCCACAUUUUGUCAUGUUACAAACAGACUUUUUUUUUUUGUGUGUGGAUUUUCUGAUUAAAACAUUUUCAUUUCAGGCCAAAUCAAGAUCAUGAAUGCCCUCAGUGGUUGGGGUAGAGUGUAAAAUUAACAAACUGCCAAAAUGUUAAUUGAAUUCAUGAGCACCUAUUAAAAUUAUAUAAUAUGUAAAGUCUUUACAUAAAUGUAUUUUGGGACUAUACAAAUAAAAACCGAUCUGACUGAUUGUC
Long non-coding RNA from Xiphophorus hellerii (green swordtail), 766 nucleotides. RefSeq lists it as uncharacterized. The record is from RefSeq and is a predicted model, not a curated record. Lineage: Eukaryota; Metazoa; Chordata; Actinopteri; Cyprinodontiformes; Poeciliidae. The transcript is spliced from 2 exons.